GACGAACGCUGGCGGCGUGCUUAACACAUGCAAGUCGAACGGAAAGGCCCUGCUUUUGUGGGGUGCUCGAGUGGCGAACGGGUGAGUAACACGUGAGUAACCUGCCCUUGACUUUGGGAUAACUUCAGGAAACUGGGGCUAAUACCGGAUAGGAGCUCCUGCUGCAUGGUGGGGGUUGGAAAGUUUCGGCGGUUGGGGAUGGACUCGCGGCUUAUCAGCUUGUUGGUGGGGUAGUGGCUUACCAAGGCUUUGACGGGUAGCCGGCCUGAGAGGGUGACCGGCCAAAAUGGGAAUGAGAUAAGGGCCAGAAUCCUAAGGGAGGCAGCAGUGGGGAAUAUUGGAAAAAGGGCGGAAGCCUGAUGCAGGAACGCCGGGGGCGGGAUGACGGCCUUCGGGUUGUAAACCGCUUUCGCCUGUGACGAAGCGUGAGUGACGGUAAUGGGUAAAGAAGCACCGGCUAACUACGUG
RNAcentral lists this ribosomal RNA (468 nucleotides) under uncultured bacterium. RNAcentral's name for it is "partial 16S ribosomal RNA". It matches the Rfam family "Bacterial small subunit ribosomal RNA", at positions 28 to 507 of the family's 1533-position model. The record is from RNAcentral.